RNAcentral lists this long non-coding RNA (1183 nucleotides) under Anser brachyrhynchus (Pink-footed goose). RNAcentral describes it as "lncRNA (ENSABRG00000016974.1)". Lineage: Eukaryota; Metazoa; Chordata; Aves; Anseriformes; Anatidae. The record is from RNAcentral.
CGGCAAUUUAGGAUUUAUUUUAUACUUUUAUGAUAAAUAACAAGUGUAGAUUGUAUCGUUUUUGCAGGGUCCUUAGGGAGGGUUCUAAAUCCAGUUGCAUGCUUCCAAAAUUCCCCUUAGAGUGAAUUACUCACUCUACUCUCUUGUCAGCUUUUGUCCACAGAAAAGCUUGUUCCUCAAGGAGUCAGCCCUGAGAUGCACUUCCCCUCAGGGGUACCCUGAGAGGCAUCCUGGCUCAAGGGGAGAUUGAGGGUGCAGUCCACUGUGGUCCCUGGAAAGCUCAAAGGGCUUAGGACUACUUAGUUGCUACUAAGCAACUAGUUGCUUAGGACUACCAUUCAUAGGACUGUGAGACAACUGUUAAUACUUUUCCAUCCUGGCUACUGUUCAGAUAAGGCAAUUUUGGUAUUUUUCAUCAAUUCUGCUAUUCCCAUACCUUCCAGAAUGUACAGUUGUGGUACUCCCCAGAUCAGGCUACUGUCCAGGCUGCAGGUUUGGAGAUGCAAUCAGGGAGUGCCUGCUCAUACUCACCUGUUAUGGACAUUGUCCAUUGACAAUGGAGGACUGAUGUAACAUUAAUCAAUCUUGAACCAUAGCUGACUUGGGGGAAAGGCUACCCCACCACAGAGAUCAAGGGUUACAGCCUGCUGUGAUCCCUGGAGAGCUCAAAUUGGCUUUUCUUCAGUUGCUACAAGUUCAGGUCAUUGGCUCAUAGUCAAACUCAGGUUCCUUACCAUGUUCUGGAACUCUGAUGUGCAAGAAGCAGUCCCAUCAAGGCCUACUGUGGUUUAUAAGCCUGAGCAAGACUUAGAUCAAGUGCGGGAGUAUAGUGAACCCAUCACAGAGCCAAUGCACCAAGCAGUAUCAGACCAACAGGUAGUCACAAUAAUGUUUGAUGCAUGAUGGAGAGUACCACAGGAUUUACAACUGUUACCAGCCUGUUAACUGCAGACUUGUGAGCACUGAGUGCUGGAGCCUGGCUGAAGACUCUUCAGGCACCUGAGACUCCUGGGUCAAGGCUGGAAGCCCCUCUAGAAGAGGAGAAUAUGGAGGUGGAUCAGUUUGAUAUUUUGGUUUAAACAGGUCUAUCAUUCCUAGAGGAAUAAUGUACUGUGUAUGUCAGCUUUACUCCAGGCUUAACAGAGAAAAUACAAAUGUGAUUUGAAUGAAAGAGAAGAAUAAG